Armigeres subalbatus is the source of this 931-nucleotide long non-coding RNA. RefSeq lists it as uncharacterized. Lineage: Eukaryota; Metazoa; Arthropoda; Insecta; Diptera; Culicidae. The transcript is spliced from 6 exons. The record is from RefSeq and is a predicted model, not a curated record.
UCUUUACAUUUUCCUAUUUUGACAGCUGAGCUUUUAUGCAUGAAGUGUCAAGAGCUAGAAGUAAAGAAGCUACAAUCUAUAUAUCAGAACUGCAGCACUUCCGUCGCACUGGACAACCGUCGGCCACAUUUCCAGAAGAUGGCACGACACUCGAGGACAUCGAAACUCCUCCCAGGGAACGCGUGGCAAAUGGGGUGGAUGAUCACUACUACUAAGCAAACCACCGACACCACCCCGUCAGUUUUAAACAUCCAAGUUGAAAAGGAAGUACACAUUUAUGAGUAGGAAGAUCGAAGACAUUGAUCGGCCUUCAACUAGGAAGGCAACUUCCUCUAUUCAACAGCAUGUCCUGGAAAAGAAACGGUAUAACGAAGAGUAAACAAGAGAGCCUGGAGGACAAUAGUACCGGAGAUUCCGAGCGUGCUUCUGACUUCUAAGAUAACUACGCCCCAACAGAAUGUAAUUGUGACAAUUCUUUCGGCAAAUGUUGUCCGGGCCAACUUCCAUUUAAGUUUUUCGGCAGCAAUGUGGAUAAAAUGCAAUAUGUAUUGCAUGCCGAAAUCAAAAAUAAAUUGGUUUAGAAUACAUAAAUACUACCUCCUAAGAUGGAAAUAAGAACUCAUUACGCUAUUGCACUAGCGGAUUCGGCUGAACCGCGGAACGUUUGUGAAGGAACAUGCAGCCUCGCAUGCAGCACCACCGGAAAAAGCAGAUCCUCUGGACAUGGCCAAAGAUUCAGCAUUAAACAGAAAUCAUUCCAGAGUUAGUUUUUGUUGUUCUUCGAAAUUUGCAGUAUAUUGGAAAAAAUUGAAGAAGCAAUUAUAACUUGGAAAGCAAUGAUUUAUCAAGCCAUAAUGAGAUAACUUAAAAAAACCGUUGAUAUUUUUGAAUAAAUUAGGAAAAUUAUUCAUUAAUUAUAUAAGAUGGUAAA